UUUUUGUUAUGUUUUGUUUCACAUUCUUUGACUAGUGUUAAAAAAAAGUUUGCAAGUCAGACUUGCGAGGACGUGAAUCCUCUCAAGAUUGACAGACUCGCUAUAGUGCACAGAGUUGGAUAGUGGAGGUCAGGCCUCUAAUCGCUUCCGCAGAAAAGAGCACCCUAAUAUUCACUAAUGAUCCUUCCGCAGGUUCACCUACGGAAA
This 207-nucleotide unclassified non-coding RNA is filed under the name uncultured fungus. RNAcentral describes it as "sequence contains ITS1". Lineage: Eukaryota; Fungi. The record is from RNAcentral.